CGGGGGAGGCCGAAUCCUGGGCUGUGUCCCGGCGCCCAGUGCUCCUGGUCUGUGCUGUUGGAUUCGCGCUCUGGCAGCACUGCUGCCU
This 88-nucleotide microRNA precursor is filed under the name Canis lupus familiaris (dog). Its description in RNAcentral is "mir-8799 microRNA precursor family". It matches the Rfam family "mir-8799 microRNA precursor family". The record is from Rfam by way of RNAcentral. RNAcentral also lists the same sequence under 1 other name. Lineage: Eukaryota; Metazoa; Chordata; Mammalia; Carnivora; Canidae.